UCCGUAGGCGGGUUUAUAGGUCAGUGGUGAAAGUUUGCGGCUCAACCGUAAAAUUGCCAUUGAUACUGUAGAUCUUGAAUUAGUGUGAAGUGGUUAGAAUGUGUAGUGUAGCGGUGAAAUGCAUAGAUAUUACACAGAAUAACCAAUUGCGAAGGCAGAUCACUAACACUAUAUUGACGCUGAGGGACGAAAGCGUUGGGAGCGAACA
RNAcentral lists this ribosomal RNA (208 nucleotides) under uncultured bacterium. Its description in RNAcentral is "partial 16S ribosomal RNA". It matches the Rfam family "Bacterial small subunit ribosomal RNA", at positions 568 to 774 of the family's 1533-position model. The record is from RNAcentral.